Molecule: RNA transcript, 1246 nt
Organism: Rosa chinensis
Lineage: Eukaryota; Viridiplantae; Streptophyta; Magnoliopsida; Rosales; Rosaceae
Exons: 7
Source: RefSeq, a predicted model, not a curated record
GUUUGUCCGUCACAAAGCCGUGAAGCUUCCGUUUGUUGUAAAAUUUAAAUGCAGAAGAAACGGAAUUGAGUUUAGGGUUGGGUAAAUACUGAUCCAAUCCGGGUAGCCCUUCUCGGAACCCGAUUGUUGCUGAUGAACAACGGGGUGUCUGGAUAAAUGGUGGGAGGCCUCCACACCCAGGACCACCAUUUGGCCAUGAAGUUAUGCAGAUCUGAUCCUGGUGACUAAGCUAUUCAUCAAGUAGUGUCCUGCAUAGUUUGGUGUUAACACAAUUUCCACCGGUUUUUUUGGGCCACUAGUUGAGAGGCCACCAGCAAAUAAUAUGAGUUUUCAACGUCCUGCUCCUAAUAAUGUACCCUCUGGAGCUCCAAUAUCAGUGCUACUCAGAUCUUGCCGUGUAGGCCUGAUAUUUCUGCUGUUAAUUGUUAGAGACCAGCUUAAUGUUCACUUUGCCCUGAUGAAAUAUUCUUCUUCGAUUGCUUUAAUUUGGGUCCGAGAUUGUAUUAAAGCUUCAGUCUUUGCAGUGAGAUGAUCGUCAAGCUUCCAUCAUGUUUUCAAUGUUGUGGAGUUCUUCAUCAUCGAGAUUAUCCCAAUAAUCAGCAUCACUUUCUCUCACUUGUUGGCUCUCCUGCUCUUCUUUAUACAAUAAAUCAUACACUUCUUUAGUGGUUGUGCUCAUAUCAACAGUGUACAGCUCUCCUGGUCGUGGUACUCCAUCCAGGUGUUCUCUGGUGUAGAUAUUUAAAGCAUUGGCUUGGUAGAUUAAUUGCAGAUUUGUAUCAUCAAAGAAAUCAUCUACUACAAGCUGGGCUGCACGAAAUUUGUGAAUAUCCUCCACUGUUGGUGCCACAUCAAUUGUUGGGUGAGAAAAUGUAUCAUGACAAAUGACUCCUAUACCAGGUUGAGGAUGAGAUAUAAGAUUAAAGAGAAAAUUCUGGAUAGCUACUUGAAGGGAAAGAUGCUUAUCAUGCUGUAACUUGAAGAUUUUAUCUUUACAAUCAUGAGUGUAUUACCACUUUGAGGUGGCACACCACUUUCUGCUCUUUGAGUACUAGAAGAUGAAGGCCUGAAAAAGUCCAUACCUGUCAAAGAAGAAGCCGAGAUAAGAUAUCUGCAAGUGUAUUAUCAGCUCCUUUUAUAUGCUCAAAUUGUGGCCUAAAUCCAUUUCCUGUAAUACAAUCUAUAAAAUUGACCCAUCUUCUGGCUGCUUGUUUAUUAGUAGUGAUUUUAUUAUAAUGAGAAACAA